AAGAAUGUGGAUCCUAUUCGAGUUCCUAUAUCUCGUUUUGUGUGUAUGCAUAUUUAUAUAUAAUAUCAGAUAUAGUAGCUUUGUCUGAAAUCCAGCCAAACUCUGCCAAAAGAUUGUUGCACCUAAACAAGUGAAUGCAGUUCCUCCCUCUCUGGUAUCACUAGACAGUCUAACACCACCAAACAUCGAGUACGGUUUGCAACAAAACAGACCUCGUUGAAGAUCUUCUCCAAAGCAUAUUGUUGGCAUCAUAAACAUCUAAAAGGUCAUAGCUGCUGAGAUGGAGCUAUGUGAGGAGAAUGUUAAUGACUACGGGAAACAGUGAAGACCUGACGUUCCAGAAACUGCAUCAACAACUGGCUGUGAUGCUCAUAAUGCAGAACAACAACAUCAAUUCACACGGAGGUGCAACAUGGCUCUUGAUGCUUUACAUUGCUGUAAUGAUGUAUUUAGUAUACACUAAUGCUUCUUUAGUGAAAGACUGUUGAGAAUAUGGCAUUCCCUAAGGCGUUGCAAGUAAAUAGCAUUGAUGCAUUUAGGGGGAAACUAGACAAACA
This is a non-coding RNA of Chiloscyllium plagiosum (whitespotted bambooshark), 557 nucleotides long. Lineage: Eukaryota; Metazoa; Chordata; Chondrichthyes; Orectolobiformes; Hemiscylliidae. The record is from RefSeq and is a predicted model, not a curated record.